This is a non-coding RNA of Oryctolagus cuniculus (rabbit), 2514 nucleotides long. Lineage: Eukaryota; Metazoa; Chordata; Mammalia; Lagomorpha; Leporidae. The record is from RefSeq and is a predicted model, not a curated record.
GCUGUAGCAGGAGUAGGGGACGCAGCCUUCUCUGGCAUAGUCUUGUCCCCCGGGACUCCCUGCCGGAGCCACACCGAGGUUGGUCCUUGGCAAAAUGGGGGGCGCUCCAGCCAGCACCAAGAGGACGCAAGGGAAGGAACACGGGCACAAAGUGCUGCUUGCCUAGCCGGCCCGAGUCACCCUGUGCGGCUGGCGAGCCGCGAUGGGCGGAUCUGCCGAGCAGGUGACCUGCCUGGGUCUGAGGGCAGGGACUGUGGCCCGCGGAGCGCACUGCGCACAGACCCCGUCCUUAGGAACACGAUGUCACUCAGCCUCGUGACAGUCACGGGGGUGCUUCAGGGGGCAGGCGGAGUUCGCUUCGGCAGGACAGCGCUGGCGCCUCCAGGAAGCCUGUGCCAUGAGUCAGUGCAGGAGCCCUGGGCUGUGUCUCCCAACUCACUGCCGCGUCCUGGUCGCGAUAUCGGUGCCCGUGCCUUUCCCAGCCGAUGUUGGCACGCGCCCACGGUCAGAGCACACGGGGAAGGCAGAAGCAGACAACCACAAGGAGUCGGUGGCUGCGUUCCCGAGCCUGUGAGAGCAGCGUGGCCACGUGGUUCCUUUGGCCCUCGGAAGACAUCAAAGCCGCAGGGAGGCCGACUUGGGGAUGCCGGCCACAGCAGAGAGCUGGAUCGGAAGUGGAGCAGCCGGGUCUCCAACAGGUGUCCAGAUGCGAUGCCGGCGUCGCAGGCAACGGCUUUACCUGCUGCGCCACAGCGCCAGCCCCAGGAGAACCGUUAGAUCAGAUGGCAUUUGGUCAAAGAGCCGUCUGUGCGUGUGGCACGCAGCUGGGGCAGGAGGCCCUCAAAGCAAGAUGUCUCCCAUGACGGGAAGGGGAGAGGCCACACCAGGCUGAUGCCACCAGUCCCGCGCUCCUCUCCCCCUGCCUGGGAUCCGAAGGAACACUCCAGUCUAGCACGGAUCUGGCGACCGGAACCGACUCCCUAAUUCACGGAGCUCGUGACACGUCCCUAGUGUUAAGCGGCUGACCAACAACAAAGAGACACCCACAUGCCAAGGCCUUGUUUCUUCCCUCCCGGGGCGUUUUGGCUGCCAUGGUCCUGCUCCUGCCCGGGGCAGCAGGGUUCCCAGCCCUUCCGCCCACCUCCACCGGAAGCAGCUGUUCUUGGUGACAAACCCUGGAUUCGAAAUGACGCCCUCCACAGCCAUCGGCUUCCGCAUUCCCGCCGUGUUGGGACGCUUCCCCCUAGGCUGCACCUGCCUCCUGCCCUCAGCCGGCUGCUCUCACCCGCGGCUGCCGUGGCCUCCCUGUGCCUCCACUGGGCGAGACACGUGGUCCCCACAGGCCCUGCACGCCCUGGAGGCCUGGUGUCAAAGCUCAGAAGCCUGGGCUCUCAUUUUCCUGGUGCUGUGAGCGACUUCUCCCCUCUGCUCUCGGGAUCUCCCUCCUGCGAGCUCAGAGUUCACGGAACUCAUUACAGCUCCAUUCAGUCCACGCUGCCCCAGGCCGGUGCCCAGCUCCACGGAGGCCGGCGACCAGGUCCAGCGAGGCUGGUGACCAGGUCCAGCGAGACUGGUGACCAGGUCCAGCGAGGCCAGUGACCAGGUCCAGCGAGGCCGGUGACCAGGCCCAGCGAGGCCGGUGACCAGGCCCAGCGAGGCUGGUGUUUGGUAUAACAGGACCGGCCGCAGGCAGAGAAGGCCAUGUCUGGACGAUGCAGGCAGGCGCCUGGCCCCAAAGCACGGGCUCAUUAGCGUCUGUGAGAAGCUCGGGAGCCACAGCGGACGAGGACAAACGCUCAAGGCCCCCGAGGACCUCAGUUGCUCCUGAUUUCUGGGAGAACUUGGAGAGGCGCACAGUUUCCUUCCCUGAUGUGCACGAUGGGCCAGGAGCCUGAGCUCUGCUCCACGGACGCCCCAGCGAGCCUGGGCCAGGAGGACGCGUGGUCCGGGUGACCCGGCCUCCCAGGCCCCUGCCCCAUAGACCCGCCCACAGCACGCCGCCUGGCCCUGCAGCAGGCUCCCACGGACCCCAAGGUACUCUGGAGAGGCGGGGCCUCUGUGUGGCUCACAGCCCACACCCAGCCAUGACCUGGGGUGACAUGGGGAGGCACAGGCAACUCUCAGCCCAGCACACCCCUGAAGGAGGAGGCGGCCUUGGGGCCCUCAGUGCUUUGUGUAAGAACUCACAUGUUCGGGGCCGGUGCUACGUCACAGCAGGUUAAGCCACUGCCUGUGAUGCCGGAUCUGCAUGAGCACCUGUUGGAGCCCCGGCUGCUCCAGUUCUGACCCAGCUCCCUGGUAGCGUUCCUGGGACAGCAGCAGAAGGUGGCCCCAGUGCUUGGGCCCCUGCACCCACGUGGGAGACCCGGAGGAAGCUCCAGGCUCCUGGGUCCAGGCUUCAGGUUGGCCCAGCCCUGGCUGUUGAGGCCACCCGGGGAGUGAGCCAGCGGAUGGACCAUCUCUCUUUCUGUAACCCUGACUUUCAAAUAAGUAAGUGCAUCUUUAAAAAGAGCA